ACUAGAUUCCAGAGAACCCCGCCUUCUGCUUCUCAGGCUCGUCAACCUCGGUCUGGCCUCGGGACCUGUGCUCUUGCUAUUAGCCCCUCCCGAACCAUCUUCCCAGAUCAGAGCGAGCUGCUGCUUUUGGUCACAGAGGUCUGAGCUUAACCAUCACCAAGUCAGAACGGCUCCCUGCCCAGCCCGCCUGUGGCCCUAACCCCCAUUUGAAACUGCCUCCUCUAAUUCUGUGGACCCCCUGCUAGAAUGUGCUUCAUCAGAGCAGAGGCCACAGGGCACUUCCUCCCUCCCUCCGUGUGCCCAUGAGUGAAAGCAGGGGCACUGAAAUUAGACUGAAGAUAAACCUGUAUGAUGGAAAUCCUCAUUGUGAAAUCCUAAUCGUAAGCCUCAGAAAACUGAUUUAUCCUCUAUCAGUCAUUGCCACUUAGAAUCUGGUGGAGAACUGUAACAUCUUUAAGUGGAAAGGGACAUUAAAGGGUUGGCUUUGCCCCCAGUGGUUCAUUUUAAUGAUGGGGAAACAGACCCACUGAGGGGAAGUAAGUUGAGAAAUUUUAUGAAGCAAGUCAGUUAAAAACAGCAACAAUGACUCUCCAUUAAGCUUCAGGCACUAAUCUGGUCUGUGCGUGCCCUGAGGGGCUUACAGUGCAGAGAGGAGAAGAGAAAAAACACAAAUAAGCAUAUGACUAGAUCAUUGCAGCAGAAGGUGCGCCAGCUCCCAGAUUUUGGAGUCCCACCAGUCUAGCCUCCUGGUUCAGUCUGACACAGGGGGCCUGAGCUCUUCAGCGCACCACAGUGGUGGAGGCUCACUUCAGUUCCUUCAUGAUCUCCACCUGAACGUGAAGAAACUCGUUUAUUUCAUGGCUCCACCAUCACCAGGGACCCAGGCUUCGAAGUCCAACAUCCCAGGGUCCGGCCUCUGUUCUCAACAUGUCCGUAAAGUGCGCAUGACGGCCGCAGCCCGGCCCAUCAGUCAGGCUCCAGGCAGCAGGGAGGGUGGGCACAAGGGUGCACCCAACAUGGUGCAUUUCGGAGCUCCUGGAGUGUCACACGGCUGAAGCCUUUAUCUUAUAGAGUACAUGACCACAUCUUCCAUCCACAGCAGCCGGGAAGUACAGUCUGUUAGCGGGGCGCACUGUCGCCCUGCAUCAAAUGGUCACUAAGAGAGAACACAGGUUCUAAGGACCUGGAUGUGGACAUAUCUUUUUCGGGGCAACCACUCGACCCACUAACUGGCCCAUUUCAAAAAUGUGUGUAUGAAGGCCCUGGCUCCCGCACAAGGGACUAUUUAUUCCCCACUUCUACCCCCAUGGCUCUUUGUCCCUUCCCCCAUGCUGGUCCCAGUCUGCAUAAUAAUCAGCAGCCAGCCCCUUUGUCUCCAGGGGUCUGAUCUCACUCAUGCUCCAACUUCCACUUGCCUGGGACCAUGUUGUGGGUGGAGAAGGCACUUGGUAGAUGUUUGCUGAAUUAAAUGAAAUCACUGACUGUGCA
Long non-coding RNA from Callorhinus ursinus (northern fur seal), 1488 nucleotides. RefSeq lists it as uncharacterized. The record is from RefSeq and is a predicted model, not a curated record. Lineage: Eukaryota; Metazoa; Chordata; Mammalia; Carnivora; Otariidae.